AGGAACAACAGGUGAGGCUGUUUGUCUGAGCAGACAGUCAGAACGAAUGUAUGUGCACUUGAGCAUUUAGGCCUAUUUUUUUUUUCUUUAUUUUAAUUAGUUAAUUAUGUUCAUUUAAAUAUUUUGAAUAUUUAUAUCGUCAUUUUCGUUUCAAAUUUUAUAAAUAGACUCGGCUCUUCUGAAAUGCGAGCCGGCUCCCAACGUUCACCUACAAGACUCGUUCGCGAACGGCCCAAAGCAGUCUGGACUGGUUGAAGCAGAGUGGGAAGGAUUAUUUUGAAAGUGUUUCAGUCUGCCGUGAAUCAUCAUAAUCCAUACACUGCAUAAACCUGCUCUCCGCCACCAGCAAAAUUAGAUGAUUGAGGGUGAACAUGCAACACAUCAGCUUUAAUUGUCUGGAGCCUGGUGGUGUUGUAGCCAUGGAGCUUUCACUCAGAUGGAACCAGGUUACAGCUGCUGUGCAACGUUGACGUCCUUCCUCCCAGACAUGUGAAUGCAUCCCACUGGACACAACCCGGCAAACAUAUUUUUGAGAAAAUCAGGACUUUUGCAAUGAAAAGGCCAUGGACAUUAUAUGUCCUGAUCCAAAGGGCAGAAUAGAAAUAUGCUCCCAGGCUAGAUUCCUUUGUUCAUAUCAUAACAUGACCUGAACCAAAGUUAUUCUAAGGAUCUUGUGAUAUAGGCCUAGGUCAAUAUAUUGUUUUUACCUAAGCCUUUGUGUUUGUGUGUUUUUAAGUUUUUCGUAAUUGCAGGCUACUACCUUUAGCACUUGCAGUUAAUCAAGUAUUUUUGAAAUAUUGUCUUUGUUUUUUAAGCACUACCUCACUGCUUUAGCACAUUGCCAUGGUCACCUGUUCCAAUGUGAAUUUUUUAAGAGACGGGUAGGUCUAAGCCGUUAGAGUGUGUGAACGAUGCUAAAUGGGCAUAAACAAAGAACAGCACUGUAGCUGUUCAAUGUGAAAGGUUAUUUUUAUUAUACAGCAAUAAGCAAUGUAAUACUGUACAUGGUUUGCCUAAUGGGGUAACUUGGUAUUAGUAUUCCUAUAGAAAAGUAUUCCUUUUCUAAAUAUAUGUUUCCCAAGUAUUAAUGUAGAGGAUGUGUGAAAAUCACAGCAAAAUGUUUGAAUGCCCUUUUCUCCCAAAUGGGAUUUGAAGUUUAGCAAUUUUUAAAGCAGCAUUACUUACCCACGUUUCCUCCAACUGCAGUGUAUGAUAUACCAUUUUGAAGCAUCUGUACUUUUAUCCAAUGUAAAAAAUUCAUUAAAUGUUGAACAUAAGACUGAAAAGAGAUGGUGGGUCACACAUGACUUAAAUGUAAUGUUAUUAUGGGUUUUUGGAGUAUGAGAGUAGAAGAAUGCCGCUGUGUGAAGCAAUUGUACAUUCUCAGAAACCCCAACAAUUCACAAAGCAAAUACAUAAAAUUCAUAUCAAACGACAGUCGUUAAAGGCAUCAUUCAGUUGAAUCAGCUUGUCUCCCUUUAAUUGUGUUAUAUUGAGGGACAUUUAGAGUGGUGUUGAAGUGCUGUAAAUUGAGGCAUCGAUUUUCCUGUUUCUUUGAGCUGGGAAUAAGAUCAUUUGAAGAGUUUUCUUAUCGGCCCAGGUCAGACGUUGGCGUUUAUACACUGAAAAAGUCAACUUUGGCCAGUUUUCAAGUCUUUUUCACAGUCAAAGCCAUUCACCAUAAACGUUUACAGCGGAACAUAUGUGUAUGGAGAAGCCACCUACCAGCCUGCCAAGAAUUCUCUAAAUGAAUAUGCAUUUAAUGAAUAUACUUUACAUAUAAAACUGCUACUAAUCCCAAUUAUCCCAUGCAUAUUGUAAAGCAGCUUGUCUUUGAGCCAAAAUAAAGGGUCCAGGCCAAUCAACGUGUGUUAACCCCUUUAGGGAGGGAACCACUGUGUUUGAGAGGCUAAGAGAUACAGCAGACACACACACACACUGGAUACCUCAACAAUGGACACAAACACUGGAUCCCUCAACAACACACAUAAACACGAUACCACAACAACACAUAUAUAAAUACCAGAUACCUCAACAACACAUAUAUAAAUACUGGAUACCUCAACAACACAUAUAAACACUGGAUACCACAACAACACACAUAAACACUGGAUACCACAACAACACACAUAAAUACUGGAUACCACAACAACACACAUAAACACUGGAUACCUCAAUACACACAAACACUGGAUACCUCAACAAUGGACACAAACACUGGAUCCCUCAACAACACACACAUAAACACUGGAUACCACAACAACACAUAUAAAAAUACCAGAUACCUCAACAACACAUAUAUAAAAUACCAGAUACCUCAACAACACAUAUAUAAAUACUGGAUACCUCAACAACACAUAUAUAAAUACUGGAUACCACAACAACACACAUAAACACUGGAUACCACAACAACACAUAUAUAAAUACUGGAUACCUCAACAACACAUAUAUAAAUACUGGAUACCACAACAACACAUAUAUAAAUACUGGAUACCUCAACAACACAUAUAUAAAUACUGGAUACCACAACAACAAAUAUAUAAAUACUGGAUACCACAACAACAAAUAUAUAAAUACUGGAUACCUCAACAACACAUAUAUAAAUACUGGAUACCUCAACAACACACAUAAACACUGGAUACCACAACAACACAUGUAUAAAUACUGGAUACCUCAACAACACACACAAACACUGGAUAUUUCAACAACACAAACAUUGGAUACCUCAACAAUGGACACAAACACUGGAUCCCUCAACAACACACACAUAAACACUGGAUAACUCAACAACACAAACACUGGAUACCUCAACAACACAAACACUGGAUAACUCAACAACACACACAUAAACACUGGAUACCUCAACAACACAAACACUGGAUACCUCAACAACAUAAACAUUGGAUACCUCAACAACAUAAACAUUGGAUAUCUCAACAACACAUAAACACUGGAUACCUGAACAACAACACAAACACUGGAUACCUCAACAACAGACAUAAACAUUGGAUAUCUCAACAACAAACCUAAACACUGGAUACCUGAACAACAGACAAACACUGGAUACCUGAACAACAGACAAACACUGGAUACCUCAACAACAGACAAACACUGGAUAGGUGAAAAACUGCAAUGCCAAAAGGGAAAGCAUAUAAAGCAUAUAUAAUACAGACUAUACCCCACACAAACUAUUUCAGGAAAAUGUAAAAGGCUCCUCUGUCACGUUCUGACCUUGGUUCCUUUGUUUUGUCUUUAUUUUAGUAUGGUCAGGGUGUGAGUUGGGGUGGGCAGUCUAUGUUUGUUUUUCUAUGUUGGUUUCUGUGUUCGGCCUAGUAUGGUUCUCAAUCAGAGGCAGGUGUCGUUAGUUGUCUCUGAUUGAGAAUCAUACUUCGUGGGUGUUUCGUGGGUGUUUAUUUUCUGUCUUUGUGUAUGUUGCCAGACAGGACUGUUUCGGUUUUCGUUCGUUCACUUUAUUGUUUUUGUAUUUCAGUGUUCAGUUUUGAUUAAUUAAAUAUUACAUCAUGAACACUUAUCACGCUGCAAAUUGGUCUUCCGAUCCUUCUUGCUACUCCUCCUCAGAAGAGGAGGACGAGAUCCAUUACAUCCUCAACCUGAAAUGGAAGUAGUCAUAUUGUCAUGCCCUGAUCUGUUUCACUUGUGCUUGACUCCACCCUCCUCCAGAUGUCGCCCAUCUUCCCCAUUAUUCCCAUGGUAUUUAUACCUGUGUUCUCUGUUUGUCUGUUGCCAGUUCGUCUUGUUUGUCAAGUCAACCAGCGUUUUGUCUCAGCUCUUGCUUUUUCACAGUCUCUCUUUUUCUCGCUUUCCUUGUUUGACUUUUGCCUGUCCUGACUCUGAGCCCGCCUGCCUGACCAUUCUGCCUGCCCCUGACCCUGACCCUGAGCCUGCCAUCCUGUGCCUUUGCCACUACUCUGGAUUAUCAACCCUUGCCUGCCUUUACCUGUCAUUUGCCUGUCC
Long non-coding RNA from Oncorhynchus tshawytscha (Chinook salmon), 3975 nucleotides. NCBI's taxonomy places the organism in Eukaryota, Metazoa, Chordata, Actinopteri, Salmoniformes, Salmonidae. The record is from Ensembl.